This 320-nucleotide ribosomal RNA is filed under the name uncultured eukaryote. Its description in RNAcentral is "partial 18S ribosomal RNA". It matches the Rfam family "Eukaryotic small subunit ribosomal RNA", at positions 1470 to 1796 of the family's 1831-position model. The record is from RNAcentral.
CCCCUAGAUGUUCUGGGCCGCACGCGCGCUACACUGAACAGUUCAACAAGUCUUAACCUUGGCCGAUAGGUCUGGGUAAUCUUUGAACGCUGUUCGUGAUUGGGAUAGACCUUUGCAAUUAUGGGUCUUCAACGAGGAAUUCCUAGUAAAUGCAAGUCAUCAGCUUGCAUUGAUUACGUCCCUGCCCUUUGUACACACCGCCCGUCGCACCUACCGAUUGAAUGGUCCGGUGAAAUCUCGGGACGGCGGCUUGGUCGCUUGCGUCCGACUGCUGAAACUUGAUUAAACCAUAUCAUUUAGAGGAAGGUGAANUCGUAACA